RNAcentral lists this signal recognition particle RNA (148 nucleotides) under Pan troglodytes (chimpanzee). RNAcentral describes it as "Metazoan signal recognition particle RNA". It matches the Rfam family "Metazoan signal recognition particle RNA". From Rfam's summary of the family: The signal recognition particle (SRP) is a universally conserved ribonucleoprotein. Lineage: Eukaryota; Metazoa; Chordata; Mammalia; Primates; Hominidae. The record is from Rfam by way of RNAcentral.
GCUGGGCAUGGUGGUGCAUGCCUGUAGUCCCAGCUACUCAGGAGGCUGAGGCAUGAGAAUCACUUGAACCCAGGAGGCAGAGGCUGCAGUGAGCCGAGAUCACGCCACUGCACUCUGGCCUGGGUGACAGAGUGAGACCCUGUCUCAA